Molecule: non-coding RNA, 597 nt
Organism: Phoenix dactylifera (date palm)
Lineage: Eukaryota; Viridiplantae; Streptophyta; Magnoliopsida; Arecales; Arecaceae
Source: RefSeq, a predicted model, not a curated record
AACAUGUUCAUGUUGAACACAGCUACGACUUCCCCCAAACUCCUACAAAAUAUAUCCCUUUCUAUGGAGGAGCUGAGUACCAUGAUUACCAUCAUUAUGUUGGAGGGCAAAGCCAUAGUAACUUCGCAUCAGUUUUUACCUACUGUGACUAUAUCUAUGGAACAGACAAGGGAUACAGAUAUCAGAAAGAACACCUUGCAAAGUUGAGGGAGAUAUGGAAAACAAAUGACCUAAAUGAAGAAGUGAAUGCUCCAUUGGUCAAGUAUGAAUAAGCAUUGCCUAUGGAAGUUACAUGCAUCGCAACAAUCCUUUUCCAUGUGUGCUUAUGGAUGAAGACGUCGUUCGCAUUACCAGGAUACCAAGCCAUCUUUCUCCAUUCAUGGAGAAAGUUGAGCACGUGCUUAUAUAACGUUAUUUAAUGGAAGCUCCACCGCACUUCUAGAUUAUGUAGAAUAAGCUCUCAUAAUGAGAUUAUGUGAGUGGUGCACAAUGUUCGGUCUUUUCCUCUAUCCUGGUGGUAAGAGCUACUUAACCAUUUUAAGCAAUUCAUGGUUAUAUAUAUGAAUCAGGAGUGGCUGAAUGCAUUUAGGGGCCUAA